This 62-nucleotide transfer RNA is filed under the name Oxya hyla intricata. RNAcentral describes it as "tRNA-Cys". The record is from RNAcentral. Lineage: Eukaryota; Metazoa; Arthropoda; Insecta; Orthoptera; Acrididae.
GGCUUUAUAUUCAAGUAUGAUUCUAGACUGCAAUUCUAGAGGUGUAAAAUUUACUAAGGCCU